AUUGAACGCUGGCGGCAGGCCUAACACAUGCAAGUCGAGCGGUAGAGAGAAGCUUGCUUCUCUUGAGAGCGGCGGACGGGUGAGUAAUGCCUAGGAAUCUGCCUGGUAGUGGGGGAUAACGUUCGGAAACGGACGCUAAUACCGCAUACGUCCUACGGGAGAAAGCAGGGGACCUUCGGGCCUUGCGCUAUCAGAUGAGCCUAGGUCGGAUUAGCUAGUUGGUGAGGUAAUGGCUCACCAAGGCGACGAUCCGUAACUGGUCUGAGAGGAUGAUCAGUCACACUGGAACUGAGACACGGUCCAGACUCCUACGGGAGGCAGCAGUGGGGAAUAUUGGACAAUGGGCGAAAGCCUGAUCCAGCCAUGCCGCGUGUGUGAAGAAGGUCUUCGGAUUGUAAA
RNAcentral lists this ribosomal RNA (399 nucleotides) under Pseudomonas sp. R-29008. RNAcentral's name for it is "bacterial SSU rRNA". It matches the Rfam family "Bacterial small subunit ribosomal RNA", at positions 30 to 429 of the family's 1533-position model. Lineage: Bacteria; Pseudomonadati; Pseudomonadota; Gammaproteobacteria; Pseudomonadales; Pseudomonadaceae. The record is from RNAcentral.